AUGGCGGUGGUCUAAGGGUGU
RNAcentral lists this microRNA (21 nucleotides) under Panagrellus redivivus. RNAcentral's name for it is "prd-miR-5358a-5p". Lineage: Eukaryota; Metazoa; Nematoda; Chromadorea; Rhabditida; Panagrolaimidae. The record is from miRBase by way of RNAcentral.